RNAcentral lists this ribosomal RNA (253 nucleotides) under uncultured bacterium. Its description in RNAcentral is "partial 16S ribosomal RNA". It matches the Rfam family "Bacterial small subunit ribosomal RNA", at positions 524 to 776 of the family's 1533-position model. The record is from RNAcentral.
UACGGAGGGGGCUAGCGUUGCUCGGAAUCACUGGGCGUAAAGCGCACGUAGGCGGAUUGCUAAGUCAGGGGUGAAAUCCUGGAGCUCAACUCCAGAACUGCCCUUGAUACUGGCGGUCUCGAGUCCGGGAGAGGUGAGUGGAACUGCGAGUGUAGAGGUGAAAUUCGUAGAUAUUCGCAAGAACACCAGUGGCGAAGGCGGCUCACUGGCCCGGUACUGACGCUGAGGUGCGAAAGCGUGGGGAGCAAACAGG